RNAcentral lists this ribosomal RNA (454 nucleotides) under uncultured bacterium. RNAcentral describes it as "partial 16S ribosomal RNA". It matches the Rfam family "Bacterial small subunit ribosomal RNA", at positions 28 to 507 of the family's 1533-position model. The record is from RNAcentral.
GAUGAACGCUGACAGAAUGCUUAACACAUGCAAGUCAACUUGAACUUCGGUUUGGGUGGCGGACGGGUGAGUAACGCGUAAAGAACUUGCCUCACAGAUAGGGACAACAUUUGGAAACGAAUGCUAAUACCUGAUAUUAUGAUUUUAGGGCAUCCUAGGAUUAUGAAAGCUAUAUGCGCUGUGAGAGAGCUUUGCGUCCCAUUAGCUAGUUGGAGAGGUAACGUCUCACCAAGGCGAUGAUGGGUAGCCGGCCUGAGAGGGUGAUCGGCCACAAGGGGACUGAGACACGGCCCUUACUCCAACGGGAGGCAGCAGUGGGGAAUAUUGGACAAUGGACCAAGAGUCUGAUCCAGCAAUUCUGUGUGCAAGAUGAAGUUUUUCGGAAUGUAAAGUGCUUUCAGUUGGGAAGAAAAAAAUGACGGUACCAACAGAAGAAGUAACGGCUAAAUACGUG